Non-coding RNA from Paramuricea clavata, 249 nucleotides. NCBI's taxonomy places the organism in Eukaryota, Metazoa, Cnidaria, Anthozoa, Malacalcyonacea, Plexauridae. The record is from the annotation of a GenBank genome assembly.
AAACGCUCCUUCAGUUACAGUGGAGCCUCUUUAUGGAAUGGCCUGCCAGAAUCUCUUAGAUCAGUAACCUCUCUCGCUGCAUUUAAGACAGGUUUAGAAGCCUUCUUACUAAUAAUCGAUCUGACUCCCACACGGCAAUCAGGUAGAACAGUAUCUAUAUUUCUUUUUGCUCCUUUUAAAAUUUUUUAAUAUUUUUGUAAAUAUUACUAUACUGAUGAUUUUCCGUGUUUAAAUAAAGUUGAUGUAUGU